AGUAUUUUAUUUAAAAUAUUGAUUUGUGGAAUCAAUGAUGAGAUAAUUAGUCUUCUUAAACU
Molecule: transfer RNA, 62 nt
Filed under: Erianthus versicolor
Lineage: Eukaryota; Metazoa; Arthropoda; Insecta; Orthoptera; Chorotypidae
Description: tRNA-His
Source: RNAcentral